AUAUUUAAAUUACAAAAUUUAAUAAUUUAAAUAUGUUUAUUGAAUUAAAUUUUAAAAUCUCUAUUAAAUGUUUUAAGUAUGUGGUGUAUGUUUUUAUAUACAUCUGGUAUAGAGAAUGCUUAAUAAAGUGUAUUCAUAAUUCCAAGAAAAAGAGGAGAAAUCUUUACUUGCACCUAAUGUAUACUAAUAUUUUAUACACCACAAAAGCAUAUUACAUGAUUGAUAGAAUAUCCGAUAAUUAGUAUUAAGAAUUUUUGUGAUGUGAUGGAACUGCCAAAUUAUAUAUUUUACGAAUUUUAAAAUAUUAACAAUAAAAAGAGGCUUGAUGCAUGUGAUAUUUUAAUAGACCGGAUGCAUGCAAUAUUGUUGAAGUAGAGGAGAGAGAGGAAGGAGUACACAUGUUGCUCCGAGGGCUUCUAAUGUGACCAAACUAUCAAAUUAAUAUAUCUAUAGAUAAUUAUUAAAAUUUUAAGAUAAAACAAUUGUAACUAAAUAAAAAAAAUUAUAAAAUAGUGUUAUGUACAUUAUAAAAAAUAACUUUUGUAUUAAUAUUUUUUUAAUUUUGAAUAGUUACAUUAUUUUAACAAUUUUAUUUAAAAAUUAAUCAAAUUUAAUAGUUUUGAAAACUAUUCUAUAAUUAACUUUUUUAACUAAUAAGUUAAAAUUGGGGAACUUAUUUCAAAUUGCCGAAAAUUUGAAGAUGUCUUUACCUUAUUAAAAUUGAUUGCAAAAAAAAUUUUCUUACAUGCACAUGAUACAUAGUAAUAUUCUAUACACCACAACUUAUAUUAGAUUAUAAAUAUUUUGAUAUCAAAACUUAAUUAAACAUAUAUAACUUACGAAGUUAAUAAUUUAAAUUCUAUUUAAUGAAUUAGAUUUUAAAAUAAAAAGUAACGAAAAAAAAAGUCGAAGAAUAAAAAAAAUUACAAAUAAAAAAAUUUAAGAUGAAACAACAGUUAUUACAGUAAAAAUUUAAGAAUUAUUUUCUUUUAAAAAAAUUAUAAGAAAAAUUAUAUUUAUACCAGCGGUAAGAGUUGAGAAUUAAAAUAUCAUAUCUCUCAUAAUUUAAGUCAGAAAUUGCAAAUAAUUAAUAUUUAAGUUCUAAAAUAUUGUGUUCCAUUUUGAGUAUUCUAGAAAAUUUUAAAUGUAAAGUUAAUUGCUUAUAAAAUUAUAAAUAUAGUAUUAAAGUUUAAUACUAAAACCAAAUGGAUCAUUUUGAAUCGAUUAUUUUACUUUUCAAAAUUUUUUAAUUUAUUUGAUUUGAGUCGGUCAACGAUAUUUUGACUUUAAAUUUUGAAUACGUCAUUUUAUUUUAGACAUUCAAUUAAUAUAUUUCAUACAAUUCUCAUAAUUUUAAAUUUAUUAAAGCAAGUUAUUAAAUUAAACUCUAUCAAUCUCUUUUUUAUUUUUUAUUGUACAACUUAUUUUUAAGUGAUAAAUAUUAUAAAAUUAAAGUUUAUAUUUAAUAUAUGUAAUUUUAGUUAUAUAAAAAGUUAUGUGUAAAAAAUUAUAGAUUAUAUAAUUUAAAUUUUAGGAGAGAAUAAGAGGAAAGAGUUAAAAAAAGAAAUG
This 1569-nucleotide long non-coding RNA is filed under the name Ananas comosus (pineapple). Its description in RNAcentral is "long non-coding RNA (ACOM_LNC005572)". Lineage: Eukaryota; Viridiplantae; Streptophyta; Magnoliopsida; Poales; Bromeliaceae. The record is from RNAcentral.